This 330-nucleotide ribosomal RNA is filed under the name uncultured eukaryote. RNAcentral describes it as "partial 18S ribosomal RNA". It matches the Rfam family "Eukaryotic small subunit ribosomal RNA", at positions 1470 to 1796 of the family's 1831-position model. The record is from RNAcentral.
CCCUUAGAUGUCCUGGGCCGCACGCGCGUUACACUGAUGCAUUCAACGAGCUUAUAACCUUGGCCGAGAGGCCUGGGCAAUCUUGUUAACGUGCAUCGUGAUAGGGAUAGAUUAUUGAAAUUAUUAAUCUUGAACGAGGAAUACCUAGUAGGCGCAUGUCAUCAGCGUGCGCCGAUUACGUCCCUGCCCUUUGUACACACCGCCCGUCGCUCCUACCGAUUGAAUGAUCCGGUGAGUUUUUUGGACUGUGGCAACGGCUUAGGUUCGCCUAACUGAUGCCGUGGGAAAAUACGCAAACCUUAUCAUUUAGAGGAAGGAGAAGUCGUANCA